UACGUAGGUGGCGAGCGUUGUCCGGAAUUACUGGGUGUAAAGCGCGUGUAGGCGGCAGGCCAAGUCGGUGGUGAAAGCGCCCGGCUCAACUGGGCGAGGUCCAUGGAAACUGGUCAGCUGGAGGACGGUAGAGGCGAGUGGAAUUCCCGGUGUAGUGGUGAAAUGCGUAGAGAUCGGGAGGAACCCCUGUGGCGAAGGCGGCUCGCUGGGCCGGUCCUGACGCUGAAACGCGAAGGCGUGGGGAGCGAACGGG
This 253-nucleotide ribosomal RNA is filed under the name uncultured bacterium. RNAcentral describes it as "partial 16S ribosomal RNA". It matches the Rfam family "Bacterial small subunit ribosomal RNA", at positions 524 to 776 of the family's 1533-position model. The record is from RNAcentral.